CCCAUAAUUCUUAGACUCAUACCUAACCUAAUUCUUAUCCCUAUAUAAUAGUACAUAAUACCUAAAUAUUGACCUACACCUAAAAAUUUAGAUCUGCCAUUAACAACAAAAGACCCCAUCCUCCCCGAUCUGAUUUUUUUGUUAAAAGAAAAGGAGUCAUUUUUCAUAAAUUUUAACUGAACAAGGAACGAAAGAGCCUCACCAUAUCUCAAUUCCUUUGCAAAAAUCUGUUGUCUCCCUAAAGGAUCUUAUCAUCUCUCUUAAUAUCUCUCCAAGUCCCAACAACACUACUAGGUUCAAAUAGAAACAAGUCAUGAAAGACCCAUAAAUGCCUCAAAAUCCAGUCAUGAAACCAGCGAGAAAACGGACCAAAAUGAGUCAAAAAUGACUCCAAUAGCUGCUGAAAAAUAGCACCAAACCCAACUCCAAAAUCACCCCUUAAUCACCACAAAUCAGCUCAAACGCAGUCCCAAAAUCAGCAACAAUAAGCUGAAAAACAACCUCAAAUUAUCUAGCGAAAAUCAGCUAAAAACUUGCUGAAAUCAGUCCAAAACAGCCCCCCUCUCCCCAAAAUUGUAGCUUAAAGUAGCUGAUUCCAGCCAACAACCACACCCAAAACAACCUCCAAAGCUUAAAAAAAAUCUUGGCCAAAACUCCAUUGAAACAGGUUGGAAAAUCUGUCCAAACAUCGUAUUUUCAUGGUAGUGUUCAGUCGGGUAGGAGUUUAAAAUUCGAAAUCUUCCACUCAAGUCGAGGUCAUUUCGGGUCGUCAUCGAGGCUUUGAUAGUCGGCUUUGAUCCAGUACCAUGUUCAAUCUUUUAGAAGUUUCUGCCGCCCUUGUACACAUUUUGGAGAAUACUGUUCAACAAUAGAGGUUCUCCAUUCACUUUGCUGAUUAUGUCUUUUACUAUAAAUUUUACAUGGUUUAAAUUUGCUGGCCAAGUCUUUGCUGGAUACAUGACUGUGUUUUGUAUUUUGGAAAGGAAUGGUUAUUUUGUGUGUUUAAUUUAAUAAGUCUGAGCAUGAUUGUCUAGUUGCUUAAGAAUAUCUGUUUCUUAGACCUUUUUGUUGUUGCAACGUUGGGCUAGUCAUGUCGAUGGGGCCAUGGGCCAUUGAAACAUUAAGUUGAUAGAACUUUGGGCCUACAAUAACAACAACUACUAUCCAGUAUACUCC
Molecule: long non-coding RNA, 1176 nt
Filed under: Nicotiana benthamiana
Lineage: Eukaryota; Viridiplantae; Streptophyta; Magnoliopsida; Solanales; Solanaceae
Description: long non-coding RNA (NBEN_LNC002912)
Source: RNAcentral